Macaca mulatta (Rhesus monkey) is the source of this 1818-nucleotide non-coding RNA. The record is from RefSeq and is a predicted model, not a curated record. NCBI's taxonomy places the organism in Eukaryota, Metazoa, Chordata, Mammalia, Primates, Cercopithecidae.
CUCAGGAUCCACCCGCCUGGGCCUCCCAAAGUGCUGGGAUUACAGGCGUGAGUCACCGUGCCUGGCCAAAAUCAUGUAAUUUUGAGGAUAAUUACAGAUUCAGCUUCUUCCAUGUUGUGUGCGUAGUGGAUGUGCAGCCAGCAUUGGCUCGUGUGUGAAGAAGCAUACGCUCCUGGAAAGUCUGCAGCGUGUCCAUGCACAUCAUCUCACUGGGCCCCUGCAGUCCACUGAAAGAAGAGGCAGACACCUGCCCCAACUGUACUGAGCCUUGCUGGCUGAGCAGAUCCCUCAUGUCCUUGGUUAAACUCUCACCCUGCAUGACUGUUUUCCUCAGAAGAAGUCACUAGUGGGGACCCCUCUUCCUGGGGUUGCUAUGCAGGGAAUGGGCUGGAUAUGUACAGACCUGGCCACCAUGCCUUUGGGGGCUGGUGUCACGGCCAGGCCAUGACUCUAAAGAAUGAGGUGGGCCGGGCUGGGCACAGUGGCUCAUGCCUGUAAUUCCAGCACUUUGGGAAGCUGAGGCAGGUGGAUCACCAGGUCAGGAGAUCGAGACCAUCCUGGCUAACAAGGUGAAACCCUAUCUGUACUAAAAAUACAAAAAAAUUAGCCAGGCGUGGUGGCGGGCGCCUGUAGCCCCAGCUACUCGGGAGACUGAGGCAGGAGAAUGGCGUGAACCCGGGAGGCGGAGCUUGUGGUGAGCCAAGAUCGCACCACUGCACUCCAGCCUGGGAUACAGAGCGAGACUCUGUCUCCAAAAAAAAAGAAAAAAAAAAAAAGAAUGAGGUGGGCCGGAUGCGGUGGCUCAUGCCUGUAAUCCCAGCACUUUGGGAGGCCAAGGCGGGUGGAUCGCUUGAGGCCAGGAAUCGGAGACCAGCCCGGCCAACAUGCUGAAACCCUGUCUCUACUAAAAAUACAAAAAAUUAGCUGGGUGUGGUGGCCCCAGCUACUGGGGAGGCUGAGGCAGAACUGCUUGACUCCGAAGGGCAGAGGUUGCAAUGAGCCGAGAUCGUGCCACUGCACUCCAGCCUGGGCAACAAGAGCAAUACUUUGUCAAAAAAAAAAAAAAGAAAAAAAAAAGAAUGAGGUGGAAGGAGGGCUUCCUUAGGAAAAAUGGCCUGCUGAGAGGGUGAGGGGUGCAGAAGGCUGCUGUGCUGGAGCCUGUCCUGUUUGGGUUCCCCCAGAAGCUGGCCCUGAUGAUGUGGGUGCUUACUAGUUUGGGAUGUGAUGUCAGGAAGCGCUGGCAGUGAGUGGGGCUGAGGCAGCGGAUGGGGACACUAUCAGGCCAUUUGCUCCUGUCGGGGGCUGGCCCUCCGUCUCCCUGUGAGGCUCCAAGAAGCUAUCUAGAGCAUUCCUGAGUUAUCCACACCUGGAGAAAGGAAGGUGGGCCAUAUAUUUAACAUUCAUCAUGGGCCAAGGGCUGUAGGCGUCACGCACUCCUGGCCUAUCCUGGGAAUGAACUGAGGAUGCUCCAAUGCCCAGAAAAAGGUCUUAGCAGAGAUAACUAACAACGUGAAAGGUCACCGGGUGAUUUGCUCAUCUUCUGAACGAUACAUACCCGUCAUCGGUUAUUUGUUGAUCUUUUGUAAAUAGUCAAUCUUUUCUUUCUGUUGCUUCCAACUUCCCUGGUAACAUGUCUAUUGCAGAUUUCUUUUUAUGUAUCCCUUUUUAGGGCCAACUGCUUCCUGGAUGUGAGGCUUACCACCUUCAAAUAAUUGUAGAGUAUUCUCAGGCUUUAUCUCUUCAAAUUUUGCUUUUUCUUCAUUUCCCUAUUAUUCCUUCUUGGAAUCUAGUUAUAUUAAAUCUUCUCAAUCUCCUUUC